CCGAGUUCUAAACUCACAACCCAUUGUGAACAAUACCUUUGUUGCUUUCGGCGGUCAGGCUCCGGCCGCGCCGCCGAAGGGCCCUUAAACUCUUGUUUUCCUAGUGACUACUCUGAGUAAAAUCUUGAAAUAAAUCA
This 137-nucleotide unclassified non-coding RNA is filed under the name soil metagenome. Its description in RNAcentral is "partial internal transcribed spacer 1". The record is from RNAcentral.